CGAUCGUUUAUUGAUUUUACCGAAAAGUGAACAUAGGAACGUCGAAGAAGAGGCAUCGGAGUGUUACGCUACGAAUCGUUUGUUGGAAAAAAUGCUCGACUCGAAUCUACGCUGAAACCGGGCUCCGAAACUGCUCUGUAAUCAUCGCGUUAAUUGUAAUUUGUGUAUCAAUUGUAAAAUUACGCGCGGCUUGUGCUCGGUGUGACGCAGUGAACCCUUCCGAACAACGCACGAUUCUAUCGGAUGGAAAAAACCGAAAGACCAAAGAGUCGGGGGUCAUCGAGCGAACGGAGGUGAUCGUUUGAAUCGUUGAAAUUCCUUCUCGGUCGAGUGAGUCAACCCUCGGGAUCGCGGGGUCUCUCGGAGCCCUCCUUUGCCUCCACUGGGCUGUCAGCCAGGGCGUUCCAAACGGCGACAUCGCAUAUCGUAUGUGUACGUCGUAUACCGCGGUGACUAGUUCGACUUCGAUGAUCAGUCGCGUGUCUUCAACUACGCGUACCGCGCAGUGUGGAUUGGUAAGUAUGCCGAGCGAUACACGAUGAUACCGAAAUUCGGAAGCGAGCCGUUGGCUCCGCGCCAUGACGGUGGAAAGGAAGGAG
This 599-nucleotide unclassified non-coding RNA is filed under the name Athalia rosae (coleseed sawfly). RNAcentral's name for it is "misc RNA ENSAEAG00005001381.1". The record is from RNAcentral. Lineage: Eukaryota; Metazoa; Arthropoda; Insecta; Hymenoptera; Athaliidae.